Peromyscus leucopus (white-footed mouse) is the source of this 323-nucleotide long non-coding RNA. RefSeq lists it as uncharacterized. The record is from RefSeq and is a predicted model, not a curated record. The transcript has 3 exons. Lineage: Eukaryota; Metazoa; Chordata; Mammalia; Rodentia; Cricetidae.
UGUGGGCCGUGGGGCCGGCAUCUGUGGCGCCUAGGCGCGGAGGCCUUUCCGGGGCUUUCGCGGCCGGCUUGUGGCCUUUCUCAGAGUUGUGGGCCCUCUCCUUGGAUGCCGAGUGCUGACAUCGGCCCAGUGGAGCCCUCUGCUCACCAUGGCACAACCUGUCACUGGAGAACCACCUGCUGGUCUAGGACAACUGGUUCCUGAACAGGGACCCCAGAGUUUCGGAGGAGGAGGAGUCGGAGGAGGACAACCUGUCACUGGAGAACCACCUGCUGGUCUAGGACAACUGAUUCCUGAACAUGGACCCCCGAGUUCCGGAGGAG